AGUGAACGCUGGCGGUAGGCCUAACACAUGCAAGUCGAACGGCAGCACAGUAAGAGCUUGCUCUUACGGGUGGCGAGUGGCGGACGGGUGAGGAAUACAUCGGAAUCUACUUUUUCGUGGGGGAUAGCGUAGGGAAACUUACGCUAAUACCGCAUACGACCUACGGGUGAAAGCAGGGGAUCUUCGGACCUUGCGCGAUUGAAUGAGCCGAUGUCGGAUUAGCUAGUUGGCGGGGUAAAGGCCCACCAAGGCGACGAUCCGUAGCUGGUCUGAGAGGAUGAUCAGCCACACUGGAGCUGAGACACUGUCCAGACUCCUACGGGAGGCAGCAGUGGGGAAUAUUGGACAAUGGGAGGAAGCCUGAUCCAGCCAUACCGCGUGGGUGAAGAAGGCCUUCGGGUUGUAAAGCCCUUUUGUUGGGAAAGAAAAGCAGCAGGUUAAUACCCCGCUGUUCUGACGGUACCCAAAGAAUAAGCACCGGCUAACUUCGUG
This 492-nucleotide ribosomal RNA is filed under the name uncultured bacterium. RNAcentral describes it as "partial 16S ribosomal RNA". It matches the Rfam family "Bacterial small subunit ribosomal RNA", at positions 29 to 507 of the family's 1533-position model. The record is from RNAcentral.